This 253-nucleotide ribosomal RNA is filed under the name uncultured bacterium. Its description in RNAcentral is "partial 16S ribosomal RNA". It matches the Rfam family "Bacterial small subunit ribosomal RNA", at positions 524 to 776 of the family's 1533-position model. The record is from RNAcentral.
UACGGGGGGGGCAAGCGUUGUUCGGAAUUACUGGGCGUAAAGGGCUCGUAGGCGGCCAACUAAGUCAGACGUGAAAUCCCUCGGCUUAACCGGGGAACUGCGUCUGAUACUGGUUGGCUUGAAUUCGGGAGAGGGAUGCGGAAUUCCAGGUGUAGCGGUGAAAUGCGUAGAUAUCUGGAGGAACACCGGUGGCGAAGGCGGCAUCCUGGACCGGCAUUGACGCUGAGGCGCGAAAGCCAGGGGAGCAAACGGG